Molecule: microRNA precursor, 181 nt
Filed under: Paramuricea clavata
Lineage: Eukaryota; Metazoa; Cnidaria; Anthozoa; Malacalcyonacea; Plexauridae
Source: RNAcentral
ACCACUCCCACAAACAUCUACGACCGCGCCUACAUAGUUUUGCAUGUUUACAAUUCUAAUUUUGAACAGCCAAUCAGGUUCUUGGUAAUAAUUGCAAUUAUAUGUCGAUUGGCUGUUUAAAAUUAGAAUUGUAAACAUGCAAAAAUAUGUAGGCGCGGUCGUAGACGUUUGUGGGAGUGGU